This 465-nucleotide ribosomal RNA is filed under the name uncultured bacterium. RNAcentral describes it as "partial 16S ribosomal RNA". It matches the Rfam family "Bacterial small subunit ribosomal RNA", at positions 338 to 795 of the family's 1533-position model. The record is from RNAcentral.
CCUACGGGUGGCAGCAGUGGGGAAUCUUGCGCAAUGGGCGAAAGCCUGACGCAGCGACGCCGCGUGAGGGAUGAAGGUCUUCGGAUCGUAAAACUCUGUCAGCAGGGAAGAACGGUCACUGUGCUAAUCAGCAGUGAAUUGACGGUACCUGCAAAGGAAGCACCGGCUAACUCCGUGCCAGCAGCCGCGGUAAUACGGAGGGGGCGAGCGUUAAUCGGAAUUAUUGGGCGUAAAGCGCUCGUAGGCGGUAUGUCAAGUCAGGGGUGAAAUCCCCGGGCUCAACGUGGGAACUGCCUUUGAAACUGGGAGACUUGAGUGUGUGAGAGGAUAGUGGAAUUCCAGGUGUAGGGGUGAAAUCCGUAGAUAUCUGGAGGAACAUCAGUGGCGAAGGCGACUAUCUGGCACAUAACUGACGCUGAGGAGCGAAAGCGUGGGUAGCAAACAGGAUUAGAUACCCCUGUAGUC